Molecule: ribosomal RNA, 286 nt
Filed under: Blastocystis hominis
Lineage: Eukaryota; Bigyra; Opalinata; Blastocystidae
Description: partial 18S ribosomal RNA
Rfam family: Eukaryotic small subunit ribosomal RNA
Source: RNAcentral
GAUUAAGCCAUGCAUGUGUAAGUAUAAAUAGUUAACUUUGAAACUGCGAAUGGCUCAUUAUAUCAGUUAUAGUUUAUUUGAUGAAGAAUACUAAUUGGAUAACCGUAGUAAUUCUAGAGCUUAUACAUGUAUAAAGUCUUGUAGACUGCAUUUAUUAGAAUGAAAACCAUAGGUUUCGGCCUAUUCGUGAGUAAUAAUAACUAAUCAUAUCGUAUGCUUAAGUAACGAUGUGUCUUUCAAGUUUCUGCCCUAUCAGCUUUCGAUGGUAGUGUAUUGGACUACCAUG